RNAcentral lists this transfer RNA (76 nucleotides) under Actinomycetota bacterium. Its description in RNAcentral is "Actinobacteria bacterium (wastewater metagenome) tRNA-Glu". It matches the Rfam family "tRNA". From Rfam's summary of the family: Transfer RNA (tRNA) molecules are approximately 80 nucleotides in length. Lineage: Bacteria; Bacillati; Actinomycetota. The record is from RNAcentral.
GGCCCCAUCGUCUAGCGGCCCAGGACUCCGCCCUUUCACGGCGGCAGCGCGGGUUCGAAUCCCGCUGGGGUCACGA